This is a long non-coding RNA of Astatotilapia calliptera (eastern happy), 689 nucleotides long. Lineage: Eukaryota; Metazoa; Chordata; Actinopteri; Cichliformes; Cichlidae. The record is from Ensembl.
AAGGUGUUCGUUAAAAACAUCAGGUUAUGGGCCCAGAGGUCGCCAAGGGAAGCUGCUAACACGUUUCUUUUGGGAGUCAUAAACAGAAUUGUGGGAUUCACAAUGGAAGAUAGACUGUUUAUUGACAAGCUGAGCGGACCGGAGAAUUGGGCAACGUGGAAAUUUCAACUGAAGCACCUGUUGAAGGCAAAAGGACUGUGGGGUAUGGUACAGGAGACGGAGCAGUUAGCUGCGGAUGCUAAUGCCCAAGCACGAGCUGAAUUUGAACGGAAGAAAGAAAAGGCAUUUUCAGUGCUGGUACUGAAUGUGAGACGCUUUACCUUGAUUGGAGGGACCACACUGGAGGUGCGAGUCCGCCGUGUAAUGGCUUAUGCCAUUACAAACGAGCUGGCCUCGGUACUAAACUGGGCAGGGAAAAAAACCAAGGACCAGACAAAGCAAAAAAGGGCAUUUAAAGAUACAGCGCUCUGCAAAUGCAUAUUUGAUGGCCUGACGCAACAGUUAGGGGCAAACUCUAUGUCCGAGUUUGUCUUUGCACAAGCAGUGCAGAAAUGGCUCCGAUACGCCCCAGAUCGUUUGGGUGGUGCAGGACGCACAUCAUGCAUCCCCAUCCCAGAGUAAAAAAUUACAAACUUCUGUGAAACAUAUAAAUGUAAAUAGGAAACUGUCUUUUAAUAAAGUAUUUAGCA